CCCAGUUCAGGGAGGUAGUGACAAUAAAUACCUUACAGAGGUCUCGUUAUCGAGAGCUCUCAAACGGAAUGAGUACAACGUGAAUCCUUUAACGAGGAUCGACUGGAGGGCAAGCCUGGUGCCAGCAGCCGCGGUAAUUCCAGCUCCAGUAGCGUAUAUUAAAGCUGUUGCGGUUAAAAAGCUCGUAGUUGGAUAUCAGUGCGUGUCCGGUCCGGUAUGCCUGGCGCUGUCGCUCGCGCGGCAAUGCUGGGCUCCCAAAUAUCGGCUGGCCGCAUUCAAUCGUGCCGGAUCCGUCGGCGGGCCGUUCUUCGGAGGGGCCUGUUGGCGGCCGGCGACGUUACCUUGAACAAAUUAGAGUGCUCAAAGCAGGCUCUGUAUGCCUGUAUACAUAUUCAUGGAAUUGGAGAAUACGUCCCUGGCUCGAUUUGGUUGGUUUUGAGAGUCGAAGGGAAAUGAUUAAUAGGGACUGACGGAGGCAUUCGUAUUGCGACGCGAGGGGUGAAAUCCUGUGACCGUCGCACGACGAACUACUGCGAAAGCAUUUGCCGAGAAUGUUUUCAUUAGUCAAGAACGAAAGUUAGAGGUUCGAAGGCGAUCAGAUACCGCCCUAGUUCUAACCGUAAACGAUGUCGACCAGCAAUCCGCAACGGUCACUACACGGACUGUGCGGGCAGCUUCCCCGGGGAAACCAGAGUUUUUGGACUCCGGGGGAAGUAUGGUUGCAAAGCUGAAACUUAAAGGAAUUGACGGAAGGGCACCACCAGGAGUGGAGCUUGCGGCUUAAUUUGACUCAACACGGGACAACUCACCAGGCCCGGACACCGUAAGGAUUGACAGACUGAUAGCUCUCUCUUGAUUCAGUGGGUGGUGGUGCAUGGCCGUUCUUAGUUGGUGGAGUGAUUUGUCUGGUUUAUUCCGAUAACGAACGAGACUCUGGCCUAUUAAACUUGACACUGUCAGUCUCUUGUGACUGCGGUGCGCUUCUUAGAGGGAUCAUCGGCGUCCCAGCCGAAGGAGAUGGAGCAAUAACAGGUCUGUGAUGCCCUUAGAUGUUCUGGGCUGCACGCGUGUUACACUGAAGUGGUCAGCGCGCCGUUCAACACCCCUCUCCGUGAGGAGCUUGGGCAAACGUUUGAACCCUUUUCGUGAUGGGAAUUGGGGGUUGCAAUUG
RNAcentral lists this ribosomal RNA (1171 nucleotides) under Acasta daedalusa. RNAcentral's name for it is "SSU rRNA". It matches the Rfam family "Eukaryotic small subunit ribosomal RNA", at positions 450 to 1592 of the family's 1831-position model. Lineage: Eukaryota; Metazoa; Arthropoda; Thecostraca; Balanomorpha; Balanidae. The record is from RNAcentral.